This is a long non-coding RNA of Mauremys mutica (yellowpond turtle), 285 nucleotides long. RefSeq lists it as uncharacterized. The transcript is spliced from 3 exons. NCBI's taxonomy places the organism in Eukaryota, Metazoa, Chordata, Testudines, Geoemydidae. The record is from RefSeq and is a predicted model, not a curated record.
AUUCAAGGCCUUAACCACAAGACCACCCUUUUCUUUCAGGAAGGUUUUCUACUCAGCAUUUCUGCUUUGGCUGUGCCUUCUAUCUGGCUUCGUUUGUAAGAGAUGUUCAGCACUGCUUUGAUCAAGGGUGCCAGGGCAGAUCCUUGAUGGACUUCAACUGUGCUAUGGCCAUUUGCACCAGCUAAAUAUCUGCCUCCUUGUCCAAAACACAAUUCUGGUCAGAUUGCAUUCCCCUUCAGACACAUCAAGACUGUUUAGAUCCAAAGAGCCUGUAUUUCCACUGCC